RNAcentral lists this long non-coding RNA (234 nucleotides) under Panax ginseng (ginseng). Its description in RNAcentral is "long non-coding RNA (PGIN_LNC006467)". Lineage: Eukaryota; Viridiplantae; Streptophyta; Magnoliopsida; Apiales; Araliaceae. The record is from RNAcentral.
GGCAAACAGAGCUAAAUUUAAAUUUCUCAUUCACGGGGUUUUACAAGUUUUGUAACUGUAAAUUGAAUCUUUUAGUUAAAUUCUUAACUCACUUAAAUUUGAUUUAAUUCCAAUUCCUGGGGAACCAAACAGAAACGCAGGGGACGGGGGGACAUCUCGGUUAAAUUUACUAGGCUAUCUGUUCGACAGGUAGGAAAACAGAACAAAAUUUGACAAACGGCAUUGCUACUCAAG